GCCAGUUUGGCUCAGUGGAUAGAGCAUCAGCCUGCGGACUGAAGCGUUGCGGGUUCGAAUCCAGCCAAAGGCA
RNAcentral lists this transfer RNA (73 nucleotides) under Myotis brandtii (Brandt's bat). It matches the Rfam family "tRNA". From Rfam's summary of the family: Transfer RNA (tRNA) molecules are approximately 80 nucleotides in length. Their secondary structure includes four short double-helical elements and three loops (D, anti-codon, and T loops). Lineage: Eukaryota; Metazoa; Chordata; Mammalia; Chiroptera; Vespertilionidae. The record is from Rfam by way of RNAcentral.